This 72-nucleotide transfer RNA is filed under the name Mus musculus (house mouse). RNAcentral describes it as "tRNA-Ala". Lineage: Eukaryota; Metazoa; Chordata; Mammalia; Rodentia; Muridae. The record is from RNAcentral.
GGCAGUGUAGCACAGUUAGUAGAGUAUUGUCUAGCAUGCACACGGUCCUGGGUUCAAACCCUAGCAUUGUAA